AACGAACGCUGGCGGCAUGCCUAACACAUGCAAGUCGAACGAGACCUUCGGGUCUAGUGGCGCACGGGUGCGUAACGCGUGGUAACCUGCCCUUAGGUUCGGAAUAACUCCCCGAGAGGUGUGCUCAUACCAGAUAAUGUCUUCGGACCAAGGAUUUAUCGCCUUUGGAUGGGGCCUCGUUGGAUUAGCUGGUUGGUAGGGUAAAAGCCUACCAAGGCGACGAUCCAUAGCUGGUCUGAGAGGAUGAUAAGCCACACUGGGACUGAGACACGGCCCAGACUCCUACGGGAGGCAGCAGUGGGGAAUAUUGGACAAUGGGCGAAAGCCUGAUACAGCAAUGCCGCGUAAGUGAUGAAGGCCUUAGGGUUGUAAAGCUCUUUUACCCGGGAUGAUAAUGACAGUACCGGGAGAAUAAGCUCCGGCUAACUCCGUG
This 433-nucleotide ribosomal RNA is filed under the name uncultured bacterium. RNAcentral's name for it is "partial 16S ribosomal RNA". It matches the Rfam family "Bacterial small subunit ribosomal RNA", at positions 29 to 507 of the family's 1533-position model. The record is from RNAcentral.